Long non-coding RNA from Aethalodelphis obliquidens (Pacific white-sided dolphin), 857 nucleotides. RefSeq lists it as uncharacterized. NCBI's taxonomy places the organism in Eukaryota, Metazoa, Chordata, Mammalia, Artiodactyla, Delphinidae. The transcript is spliced from 3 exons. The record is from RefSeq and is a predicted model, not a curated record.
GGGUGGGGCCAGGGCGGACGUAGGUUCCCCAGGUCCGCCGCGCCCUCUUGUCUGUCACGUGAGGGGCGGUUCGCUGACCGGCGGUUCGCUGACGGGCUUUUUGCCACACCCAGUUCCACUUCUAGUGGAAGUUUGAACAGCUGGGAAAGAAGAAAGGAGGAAAGAAAAGGGAUGGAAAUGAAAGCAUUUUCCAGCUUAAUGCCUGCCUACCACAUACCUGAAGCUGUGUAACUCUGCUCCAGCAAAAGUACUAUAUCUGGCAUAGCUGCUGCAAGUACAACUACUACUUCGUGGAAUUUGUGAUACUCUACUGUCACCCCCCAGAAUCCAUCUGGUUUUUGCAAGAUCCAGACUGGUCAAUUAAAUGGAGAUACACUGGGGACUAGUAUCCCUGCAUUCUUCAGGUUUUUAAAGGACACGGAUCCAAAAAAUUAUUGCUACAAUUUAUGUCAAAGAGUGUGGAAGAUCAUACAGAUUUGAGGAGGGAAGAAAUAGUGUAAAUAUUUGUUUUGGAGGACUUGCGUUGUUCCUCUAAUAUCUUAGAUUUAAAUGAAUCACUGUUGAAAUCCGUGACUUAAAAUAAUGGAGGAUGCUGUAAUAUCACGUUCAAGCUUUAUGCCGUGGACCUAAAAGCGCAGGGUUGCAGAGUUGCAUUUUGAGGAUGGUGGUGAUAUAAUUUCAGUGAUGAAGGGGGUUACCAGGAUCCCCAAAGUGAUGAUAGACUUACGUGGUUUGGGCAUGAUGAUUUACGUGGCUUUCAGGGGAGUGAUUUUCUAUUUAAGCCUGAAGAUUAAAACUUUUAUGAUAAUUCUUUUCAUAAUGUAUCUUUGCUACAUAUAAUUUUGAUAUUCAUUGAA